UACGGAGGGUGCAAGCGUUAUCCGGAAUCAUUGGGUUUAAAGGGUCCGUAGGCGGGCAGUUAAGUCAGUGGUGAAAGUCUUCCGCUCAACGGGAGAACUGCCAUUGAUACUGUUGUUCUUGAGUGCUUAUGAAGUGGUUAGAAUAUGUAGUGUAGCGGUGAAAUGCAUAGAUAUUACAUAGAACACCGAUUGCGAAGGCAGAUCACUAACAAUAUACUGACGCUGAUGGACGAAAGCGUAGGUAGCGAACAGG
This 253-nucleotide unclassified non-coding RNA is filed under the name uncultured Flavobacteriaceae bacterium. RNAcentral describes it as "contains 16S-23S intergenic spacer region". It matches the Rfam family "Bacterial small subunit ribosomal RNA", at positions 524 to 776 of the family's 1533-position model. The record is from RNAcentral. Lineage: Bacteria; Pseudomonadati; Bacteroidota; Flavobacteriia; Flavobacteriales; Flavobacteriaceae.